UUAAGGUGUUCAGCAUGCAGAUUCAUUUUCUGCCACCGAAUACAUUAGCAUGGGAUAAUGGAAUAGGACCCUGUCCUCCUAUUUUCAGUUGGUUUUGGCAGCGCGAGGACUAGGGUAAUGAUUAAUAGGGAUAGUUGGGGGCAUUAAUAUUUAAUUGUCAGAGGUGAAAUUCUUGGAUUUAUGAAAGAUUAACUUCUGCGAAAGCAUCUGCCAAGGAUGUUUUCAUUAAUCAAGAACGAAAGUUAGGGGAUCGAAGACGAUCAGAUACCGUCGUAGUCUUAACCAUAAACGAUGCCGACCAGCGAUUAGGAGACGUUGAAUACAAAACACCACCAUCGGCGCGGUCGUCCUUGGCGCGUUCGUGUUCACGCACGAGCGCGCGAGGGCGGUUUAGCCCGGUGGCACCGGUGAAUGACUCCCUAGCACUUUUGUGAGAA
RNAcentral lists this ribosomal RNA (437 nucleotides) under Acanthamoeba sp. NL12-T4. RNAcentral's name for it is "SSU rRNA". It matches the Rfam family "Eukaryotic small subunit ribosomal RNA", at positions 766 to 1098 of the family's 1831-position model. The record is from RNAcentral. RNAcentral also lists the same sequence under 2 other names. Lineage: Eukaryota; Discosea; Longamoebia; Acanthamoebidae.